RNAcentral lists this ribosomal RNA (465 nucleotides) under Vreelandella stevensii. RNAcentral's name for it is "partial 16S ribosomal RNA". It matches the Rfam family "Bacterial small subunit ribosomal RNA", at positions 338 to 795 of the family's 1533-position model. Lineage: Bacteria; Pseudomonadati; Pseudomonadota; Gammaproteobacteria; Oceanospirillales; Halomonadaceae. The record is from RNAcentral.
CCUACGGGGGGCAGCAGUGGGGAAUAUUGGACAAUGGGGGGAACCCUGAUCCAGCCAUGCCGCGUGUGUGAAGAAGGCCCUCGGGUUGUAAAGCACUUUCAGUGAGGAAGAACGCCUGGUGGUUAAUACCCAUCAGGAAAGACAUCACUCACAGAAGAAGCACCGGCUAACUCCGUGCCAGCAGCCGCGGUAAUACGGAGGGUGCGAGCGUUAAUCGGAAUUACUGGGCGUAAAGCGCGCGUAGGUGGCUUGAUAAGCCGGUUGUGAAAGCCCCGGGCUCAACCUGGGAACGGCAUCCGGAACUGUCAAGCUAGAGUGCAGGAGAGGAAGGUAGAAUUCGCGGUGUAGCGGUGAAAUGCGUAGAGAUCGGGAGGAAUACCAGUGGCGAAGGAGGCCUUCUGGACUGACACUGACACUGAGGUGCGAAGGCGUGGGUAGCAAACAGGAUUAGAUACCCUUGUAGUC